Molecule: ribosomal RNA, 254 nt
Filed under: uncultured bacterium
Lineage: Bacteria
Description: partial 16S ribosomal RNA
Rfam family: Bacterial small subunit ribosomal RNA
Source: RNAcentral
UACGUAGGGUGCGAGCGUUGUCCGGAAUUAUUGGGCGUAAAGAGCUCGUAGGCGGUGUGUCACGUCGUUCGUGAAAACCUGCAGCUUAACUGUGGGCGUGCGGUCGAUACGGGCAUCACUGGAGUUCGGCAGGGGAGACUGGAAUUCCUGGUGUAGCGGUGAAAUGCGCAGAUAUCAGGAGGAACACCGGUGGCGAAGGCGGGUCUCUGGGCCAUAACUGACGCUGAGAAGCGAAAGCAUGGGGAGCGAACAGG